GUCGCUCACUGCAUCCGGCAGUGUGAGGAAAGUCCGGGCAACGCAGAGCGCCAUAUUUCUUAACGGGAAGCUAUCGGUAACGGUAGAGUAGUGUGACAGAAAACAACCGCCUGGCAGUAUCAAAGCUCCGGGUAAGGGUGAAAAGGCGAGGUAAGAGCUCACCGGACAGCAUAGCGAUAUGUUGUGCCGCACACCUUAUGGGUUGCAAGGCCAAGUACACCGGCAUUCAAGGGUUGCUCGCCCAUUGCCGGGGGGUAGGCUGCUAAAGCUGACCGGCAACGGCCAGCUCAGAUAAAUGACGAAACUCAAGCUGUAGGUCGUAAAACGGCUUUCAGUAUUGACGACAUAACCCGGCUUAUCGUCCGGCUGU
RNAcentral lists this RNase P RNA (370 nucleotides) under uncultured Paramuribaculum sp. Its description in RNAcentral is "Bacterial RNase P class A". It matches the Rfam family "Bacterial RNase P class A". Rfam says of the family: Ribonuclease P (RNase P) is a ubiquitous endoribonuclease, found in archaea, bacteria and eukarya as well as chloroplasts and mitochondria. Lineage: Bacteria; Pseudomonadati; Bacteroidota; Bacteroidia; Bacteroidales; Muribaculaceae. The record is from RNAcentral.